GUGUUCACUUUGGCAACACAUGUACUAAAAUUGGAGUGAUAGAGAGAAGAUUGGCAUGGCCCCUGCACAGGGAUGACACACAAAUCCAUGAAGUGUUUCAUAUUUUU
Nycticebus coucang (slow loris) is the source of this 107-nucleotide small nuclear RNA. Lineage: Eukaryota; Metazoa; Chordata; Mammalia; Primates; Lorisidae. The record is from RefSeq and is a predicted model, not a curated record.